GACGAACGCUGGCGGCGUGCCUAACACAUGCAAGUCGAGCGGAGACAGAGACUUCGGCUUUUGUUUUAGCGGCGGACGGGUGAGUAACGCGUGAGCAACCUUUCUCUUACUGGGGAAUAACACAGGGAAACUUGUACUAAUACCGCAUGAGACCACAGAUGGGCAUCCAUCAGGGGUCAAAGAUUUAUCGGUAAGAGGUGGGCUCGCGUCUGAUUAGAUAGUUGGUGGGGUAACGGCCUACCAAGUCGACGAUCAGUAGCCGACCUGAGAGGGUGAUCGGCCACAUUGGGACUGAGACACGGCCCAA
This 307-nucleotide ribosomal RNA is filed under the name uncultured bacterium. Its description in RNAcentral is "bacterial SSU rRNA". It matches the Rfam family "Bacterial small subunit ribosomal RNA", at positions 28 to 334 of the family's 1533-position model. The record is from RNAcentral.